This 252-nucleotide ribosomal RNA is filed under the name uncultured bacterium. RNAcentral describes it as "partial 16S ribosomal RNA". It matches the Rfam family "Bacterial small subunit ribosomal RNA", at positions 524 to 776 of the family's 1533-position model. The record is from RNAcentral.
AACGGGGGGGGCAAGCGUUGUCCGGAAUUAUUGGGCGUAAAGCGCGCGCAGGCGGUUCAUUAAGUCUUCUGUUUAAUACCAGGGCUCAACCCUGGUUCGCAGAGGAAACUGGGUAACUGGAGUGCAGGAGAGGAAAGUGGAAUUCCACGUGUAGCGGUGAAAUGCGUAGAGAUGUGGAGGAACACCAGUGGCGAAGGCGACUUUCUGGCCUGUAACUGACGCUGAGGCGCGAAAGCGUGGGGAGCAAACAGG